AAAAUAAUCCUACCCUUUGUGAAUCUUGUUUGUUUGAAUAAUUUUUUUUUUUUAAAAAAUUAUUGGAGUCUUUCCCUUUAGAGUUUGCUUUUGAGUUUGUAAAAGAAUUCGAAAACAUCUAAAGGGGAUGGUCAAUAAUUUUUUUUGAAAAAAGACAUUUUUUAAAAUUAAACUUUUUGUAUUCAUUUGUCUAAAAAUUAUUUUUAUAAUAUAAAAACAACUUUUGACAAUGGAUCUCUUGGUUCUCGCAACGAUGAAGAACGCAGCAAAAUGCGAUAAGUAGUGUGAAUUGCAGAAUACGUGAAUCAUCGAAUCUUUGAACGCAUAUUGCACUUUUUUAGUUUACUAAAAAAGUAUGUCUGUUUGAGUAUCAGUAAAAUAUUCUCAUAAAAAUCAUUGCGUAUUUUUAUGAUUAUGAGUGUUUUACAACGAUACAAGUUGUUUCACUUUAAAUUUUUUUUUAAUAUUGAAAUUUUUCUAAUUUUAAUAAUUAAAAUUGGAUAAAAUUUUCCCGUCAAAAGGAAUAACCUAAACAAUUUUAAACGAUUAAUUUUAGCAAAAUUUUCGUAAAAAAGGAAAAUUUUUAUUAAAAUAACUUGAUCUCAAAUCAGAUAAGAGUACCCGCUGAACUUAAGCAUAUCAAUAAGCGGAGGAAAAGAAACUAACAAGGAUUCCCUUAGUAACGGCGAGUGAAGCGGGAAGAGCUCAAAUUUGAAAUCUUCAAGGUUUUACCUUGACGAAUUGUAGUUUAAAGAAGUGUUUUCUGCUGAAGUUUUGGUAAAAGUUCUUUGGAAUAGGACAUCAUAGAGGGUGAGAAUCCCGUAUUUGACCAUUAUUUUCAGCUUUGUGAUACACUUUCAAAGAGUCGGAUUGUUUGGGAAUGCAGUCCAAAAUGGGUGGUAAAUUUCAUCUAAAGCUAAAUAUUGGCGAGAGACCGAUAGCGAACAAGUACCGUGAGGGAAAGAUGAAAAGAACUUUGAAAAGAGAGUUAAACAGUACGUGAAAUUGUCAAAAGGGAAGCGUUUGACACCAGUGUUGUUUUCUCGAAAAUCAAUUAAAAAUGGCUCGAUUUUGUAUUGCUGAGACCUUAAAAGCUCACUGUACAUUUUUCGUGUCUUUUUUAAUGCACUUUUCGUUUAACAAGUCAACAUCAGUUUCUUUUGUUGUAAAAGGGUCAUUGGAAGGUGGCUUUCUUUUCGGAGAAAGUGUUUAUAGCCUUUGGCCUCUGCAAUCGGAGAGACUGAGGUCUGCAGCGUAGACUCUUCGGGGUUAGAUACAUUUGUGCUAAGUUAUAGCUUUUUAUAGACAACUUGUUGACUAUAAUUAGUCUUGUAGCUUACUCGCUUAUGCUAUUUUACCU
RNAcentral lists this unclassified non-coding RNA (1360 nucleotides) under uncultured Neocallimastigales. Its description in RNAcentral is "partial contains internal transcribed spacer 1, 5.8S ribosomal RNA, internal transcribed spacer 2, and large subunit ribosomal RNA". The stretch from base 598 to 1360 matches the Rfam family "Eukaryotic large subunit ribosomal RNA", at positions 1 to 620 of the family's 3401-position model. The record is from RNAcentral. Lineage: Eukaryota; Fungi; Neocallimastigomycota; Neocallimastigomycetes; Neocallimastigales.